UACGUAGGGUGCAAGCGUUGUCCGGAAUUAUUGGGCGUAAGGAGCUCGUAGGCGGUCUGUCGCGUCGAAUGUGAAAACCCGGGGCUCAACCCCGGGCCUGCAUUCGAUACGGGCAGACUAGAGUUCGGUAGGGGAGACUGGAAUUCCUGGUGUAGCGGUGAAAUGCGCAGAUAUCAGGAGGAACACCGGUGGCGAAGGCGGGUCUCUGGGCCGAUACUGACGCUGAGGAGCGAAAGCGUGGGGAGCGAACAGG
RNAcentral lists this ribosomal RNA (253 nucleotides) under uncultured bacterium. RNAcentral's name for it is "partial 16S ribosomal RNA". It matches the Rfam family "Bacterial small subunit ribosomal RNA", at positions 524 to 776 of the family's 1533-position model. The record is from RNAcentral.